Molecule: ribosomal RNA, 700 nt
Filed under: Microbacterium sp.
Lineage: Bacteria; Bacillati; Actinomycetota; Actinomycetes; Micrococcales; Microbacteriaceae
Description: bacterial SSU rRNA
Rfam family: Bacterial small subunit ribosomal RNA
Source: RNAcentral
CUUGCUCUGUGGAUCAGUGGCGAACGGGUGAGUAACACGUGAGCAAUCUGCCCCUGACUCUGGGAUAAGCGCUGGAAACGGCGUCUAAUACCGGAUACGAGCUGCGACCGCAUGGUCAGUAGCUGGAAAGAAUUUCGGUCAGGGAUGAGCUCGCGGCCUAUCAGCUUGUUGGUGAGGUAAUGGCUCACCAAGGCGUCGACGGGUAGCCGGCCUGAGAGGGUGACCGGCCACACUGGGACUGAGACACGGCCCAGACUCCUACGGGAGGCAGCAGUGGGGAAUAUUGCACAAUGGGCGAAAGCCUGAUGCAGCAACGCCGCGUGAGGGAUGACGGCCUUCGGGUUGUAAACCUCUUUUAGCAGGGAAGAAGCGAAAGUGACGGUACCUGCAGAAAAAGCGCCGGCUAACUACGUGCCAGCAGCCGCGGUAAUACGUAGGGCGCAAGCGUUAUCCGGAAUUAUUGGGCGUAAAGAGCUCGUAGGCGGUCUGUCGCGUCUGCUGUGAAAACCCGAGGCUCAACCUCGGGCCUGCAGUGGGUACGGGCAGACUAGAGUGCGGUAGGGGAGAUUGGAAUUCCUGGUGUAGCGGUGGAAUGCGCAGAUAUCAGGAGGAACACCGAUGGCGAAGGCAGAUCUCUGGGCCGUAACUGACGCUGAGGAGCGAAAGGGUGGGGAGCAAACAGGCUUAGAUACCCUGGUAG